This 468-nucleotide ribosomal RNA is filed under the name uncultured bacterium. RNAcentral describes it as "partial 16S ribosomal RNA". It matches the Rfam family "Bacterial small subunit ribosomal RNA", at positions 28 to 507 of the family's 1533-position model. The record is from RNAcentral.
GACGAACGCUGGCGGCGUGCUUAACACAUGCAAGUCGAACGGAAAGGCCCUGCUUUUGUGGGGUGCUCGAGUGGCGAACGGGUGAGUAACACGUGAGUAACCUGCCCUUGACUUUGGGAUAACUUCAGGAAACUGGGGCUAAUACCGGAUAGGAGCUCCUGCUGCAUGGUGGGGGUUGGAAAGUUUCGGCGGUUGGGGAUGGACUCGCGGCUUAUCAGCUUGUUGGUGGGGUAGUGGCUUACCAAGGCUUUGACGGGUAGCCGGCCUGAGAGGGUGACCGGCCACAUUGGGACUGAGCUACGGCCCAGACUCCUACGGGAGGCAGAAGUGGGGAAUAUUGCACAAUGGGCGGAAGCCUGAUGCAGCAACGCCGCGUGCGGGAUGACGGCCUUCGGUUUGUAAACCGCUUUCGCCUGUGACGAAGCGUGAGUGACGGUAAUGGGUAAAGAAGCACCGGCUAACUACGUG